UUAUGGCUCAGGAUGAACGCUGGCGGCGUGCCUAAUACAUGCAAGUCGAACGAGGUAGCAAUACCGAGUGGCGAACGGGUGAGUAACACGUAGGUAACCUGCCCUUAAGCUUGGGAUACCCAGAGGAAACUUUGGCUAAUACCGGAUAACAACAGAGAAGGCAUCUUCUUUGCUUGAAAGGCCCCUUCAAGGGUCACUUAAGGAUGGACCUGCGGCGCAUUAGCUAGUUGGUGAGAUAACAGCCCACCAAGGCGAGGAUGCGUAGCCGAACUGAGAGGUUGAUCGGCCACAUUGGAACUGAGACACGGUCCAAACUCCUACGGGAGGCAGCAGUAAGGAGUUUUCGGCAAUGGGGGGAAACCCUGACCGAGCAACGCCGCGUGAGCGAUGACGGUCCUUUGGAAUUGUAAAGCUCUGUUGUAAGCCAUGAAUGACAGCUUGAGGAAAUGCAAGUUGUUUGACGACAGCUUACCAGAAAGCCACGGCUAACUACGUGCCAGCCGCUGC
This 507-nucleotide ribosomal RNA is filed under the name uncultured bacterium. Its description in RNAcentral is "bacterial SSU rRNA". It matches the Rfam family "Bacterial small subunit ribosomal RNA", at positions 17 to 518 of the family's 1533-position model. The record is from RNAcentral.